CGCAAGCCUGAUGCAGCCAUGCCGCGUGUAUGAAGAAGGCCUUCGGGUUGUAAAGUACUUUCAGCAGUGAGGAAGGUGGUGUCGUUAAUAGCGGCAUCAUUUGACGUUAGCAACAGAAGAAGCACCGGCUAACUCCGUGCCAGCAGCCGCGGUAAUACGGAGGGUGCGAGCGUUAAUCGGAAUUACUGGGACGUAAAGCGCAUGCAGGUGGUUUGUUAAGUCAGAUGUGAAAGCCCCGGGGCUCAACCUCGGAACUGCAUUUGAAACUGGCAGACUAGAGUACUGUAGAGGGGGUAGAAUUUCAGGUGUAGCGGUGAAAUGCGUAGAGAUCUGAAGGAAUACCGGUGGCGAAGGCGGCCCCCUGGACAGAUACUGACACUCAGAUGCGAAAGCGUGGGGAGCAAACAGGAUUAGAUACCCUGGUAG
Molecule: ribosomal RNA, 426 nt
Filed under: uncultured bacterium
Lineage: Bacteria
Description: bacterial SSU rRNA
Rfam family: Bacterial small subunit ribosomal RNA
Source: RNAcentral